RNAcentral lists this long non-coding RNA (614 nucleotides) under Phoenix dactylifera (date palm). RNAcentral describes it as "long non-coding RNA (PDAC_LNC018033)". Lineage: Eukaryota; Viridiplantae; Streptophyta; Magnoliopsida; Arecales; Arecaceae. The record is from RNAcentral.
CAUGAAAGAGAAAUGAUAGAUUUCAUAGAAAUAAAUUGAUUACAAAGGUAGAAAUGAAGAUUGGUAGCAUGAUGCUGCCUUUCUUCUACAAAUAAAAUAAAAAAAGAAAAAAAUAACAAAAAUCAAAGAAAACUUUCUUCUGCAAAUAAAAUAAAAAAAAGAAAGAAAUAACAAAAAUCAAAGAAAACUUCUUCCUCUCGGUGGAACAUAAAAUACUAUUUUUUCUUCUUUUUCUUUUCUUCCCCAAAACAGAGCUUCCUCUGUUUUUCUUUCUCUCUUCUCUCCCAAACCGAUGGCCUCUUCCCCUCUGUUCUUUGGCUCCACCGAGCUCCUCUUCUCCCUUGCCAAUGGCUCCCUUAUAUAGACCCCCAGCAAGCACGUGGAUGGCUGGAUUAUUGGAGGAAGGAGAGGGUGGACGCGGUGGAAGCUGGGAUCACGGAAUCGCUGGGGCUUCCUUCACGGAUGGAAGAUCUGGGAAGGGACGCGAUGCUUGGGUGGAUCGCGGAUUGCGGCUGGAUCGGCUCCAAUAAUCUGCUGCUGUGGCCGGAAGAAGAGGAGAUGGGAGGAGGCGAUGAUCCGCGGAAGAGGGCUGAAGAAGAAGCGGCUGGAUCACG